RNAcentral lists this ribosomal RNA (471 nucleotides) under uncultured Streptococcus sp. RNAcentral describes it as "bacterial SSU rRNA". It matches the Rfam family "Bacterial small subunit ribosomal RNA", at positions 913 to 1382 of the family's 1533-position model. Lineage: Bacteria; Bacillati; Bacillota; Bacilli; Lactobacillales; Streptococcaceae. The record is from RNAcentral.
ACGGGGGCCCGCACAAGCAGCGGAGCGUGUGGUUUAAUUCGAUGCAACACGAAGAACCUUACCAGGGCUUGACAUGCCGCUGACCGGUUUAGAGAUAGAUCUUUACCCUUCGGGGUACAGCGGACACAGGCGGUGCAUGGUUGUCGUCAGCUCGUGUCGUGAGAUGUUGGUUAAGUCCCGCAACGAGCGCAACCCCUAUCUUUAAUUGCCAUCAUUCAGUUGGGCACUUUAGAGAGACUGCCGGUGUUAAGCCGGAGGAAGGUGGGGAUGACGUCAAAUCAUCAUGCCCCUUAUGACCUGGGCUACACACGUGCUACAAUGGUUGGUACAACGAGUUGCGAGUCGGUGACGGCGAGCUAAUCUCUUAAAGCCAAUCUCAGUUCGGAUUGUAGGCUGCAACUCGCCUACAUGAAGUCGGAAUCGCUAGUAAUCGCGGAUCAGCACGCCGCGGUGAAUACGUUCCCGGGCCUU